This 847-nucleotide ribosomal RNA is filed under the name Corynebacterium sp. RNAcentral describes it as "bacterial SSU rRNA". It matches the Rfam family "Bacterial small subunit ribosomal RNA", at positions 59 to 918 of the family's 1533-position model. The record is from RNAcentral. Lineage: Bacteria; Bacillati; Actinomycetota; Actinomycetes; Mycobacteriales; Corynebacteriaceae.
CAGUCGAACGAUGAUGCCCUGCUUGCAGGGUGGAUUAGUGGCGAACGGGUGAGUAACACGUGGGUGAUCUGCCCCGCACUUCGGGAUAAGCCUGGGAAACUGGGUCUAAUACCGGAUACGACCCCCUGGUAGGUCAGGGGGUGGAAAGAUUUUAUCGGUGUGGGAUGAGCCUGCGGCCUAUCAGCUUGUUGGUGGGGUAAUGGCCUACCAAGGCGUCGACGGGUAGCCGGCCUGAGAGGGUGAUCGGCCACAUUGGGACUGAGACACGGCCCAGACUCCUACGGGAGGCAGCAGUGGGGAAUAUUGCACAAUGGGCGCAAGCCUGAUGCAGCGACGCCGCGUGGGGGAUGACGGCCUUCGGGUUGUAAACUCCUUUCGACAGGGACGAAGCUAACGUGACGGUACCUGUAGAAGAAGCACCGGCUAACUACGUGCCAGCAGCCGCGGUAAUACGUAGGGUGCGAGCGUUGUCCGGAAUUACUGGGCGUAAAGAGCUCGUAGGUGGUUUGUCGCGUCGUCUGUGAAAUCCCGGGGCUUAACCUCGGGCGUGCAGGCGAUACGGGCAUAACUUGAGUGCUGUAGGGGAGACUGGAAUUCCUGGUGUAGCGGUGAAAUGCGCAGAUAUCAGGAGGAACACCAAUGGCGAAGGCAGGUCUCUGGGCAGUAACUGACGCUGAGGAGCGAAAGCAUGGGUAGCGAACAGGAUUAGAUACCCUGGUAGUCCAUGCCGUAAACGGUGGGCGCUAGGUGUAGGGGACUUCCACGUCUUCUGUGCCGCAGCUAACGCAUUAAGCGCCCCGCCUGGGGAGUACGGCCGCAAGGCUAAAACUCAAAGGAAUUGACGGGG